GGCAGGAGACGGCGAUGGACACGGAAUCGCGGCCAACGAGGAGCUGCCGAGAUUAAAUAGACUCUCCACGCGCCAUUGCUUCUCGCUCUUCGACGGACCCUGAAACAAAGAAAUUAAUUAUUUACGUAAAUUUGUAUCAAACUAUGUACAUAUAAUAAUUAUUUUAAUUUUUUAUUUAAUCUUUAUAAUAAAAUAAUUUUUCA
This is a non-coding RNA of Caenorhabditis elegans, 203 nucleotides long. Lineage: Eukaryota; Metazoa; Nematoda; Chromadorea; Rhabditida; Rhabditidae. The record is from Ensembl.